UGGCUCAGUGGUUACAGUACUCGGUUGCUAACUGAAAGGUCGGUGGUUCAAACCCACC
Molecule: transfer RNA, 58 nt
Filed under: Loxodonta africana (African savanna elephant)
Lineage: Eukaryota; Metazoa; Chordata; Mammalia; Proboscidea; Elephantidae
Rfam family: tRNA
About the family: Transfer RNA (tRNA) molecules are approximately 80 nucleotides in length. Their secondary structure includes four short double-helical elements and three loops (D, anti-codon, and T loops). Further hydrogen bonds mediate the characteristic L-shaped molecular structure. tRNAs have two regions of fundamental functional importance: the anti-codon, which is responsible for specific mRNA codon recognition, and the 3' end, to which the tRNAs corresponding amino acid is attached (by aminoacyl-tRNA synthetases). tRNAs cope with the degeneracy of the genetic code in two manners: having more than one tRNA (with a specific anti-codon) for a particular amino acid; and 'wobble' base-pairing, i.e. permitting non-standard base-pairing at the 3rd anti-codon position.
Source: Rfam by way of RNAcentral